AUACUCCUGUUCAGAGAUGUCAGAUUUUGUUUUAAAUAGUAUUCUUCAGAUGGUUGGGUAAUAAACCUCUUUGUGAUCAUCCUUGAUGCAUCACACAACCAGUUUUGCCAUAGAAUUG
This is a non-coding RNA of Sturnus vulgaris (Common starling), 118 nucleotides long. The record is from RefSeq and is a predicted model, not a curated record. NCBI's taxonomy places the organism in Eukaryota, Metazoa, Chordata, Aves, Passeriformes, Sturnidae.